Molecule: ribosomal RNA, 252 nt
Filed under: uncultured bacterium
Lineage: Bacteria
Description: partial 16S ribosomal RNA
Rfam family: Bacterial small subunit ribosomal RNA
Source: RNAcentral
UACGGAGGAUGCGAGCGUUAUCCGGAUUUAUUGGGUUUAAAGGGUGCGUAGGCGGUAUUUUAAGCUAGUGGUAAAACGUCGGGGCUUCACCUUGAUUGGCCAUUAAAACUGGAGUACUAGAGUACAGACGAGGUAGGCGGAAUAAGUUAAGUAGCGGUGAAAUGCUUAGAUAUAACUUAGAACCCCGAUAGCGAAGGCAGCUUACCAGACUGUUACUGACGCUGAAGCACGAGAGCGUGGGUAGCGAACAGG